RNAcentral lists this ribosomal RNA (545 nucleotides) under uncultured bacterium. RNAcentral's name for it is "partial 16S ribosomal RNA". It matches the Rfam family "Bacterial small subunit ribosomal RNA", at positions 355 to 914 of the family's 1533-position model. The record is from RNAcentral.
UGGGGAAUAUUGCACAAUGGGCGAAAGCCUGAUGCAGCAACGCCGCGUGAGUGAUGAAGGUCUUCGGAUUGUAAAGCUCUGUCUUUUGGGACGAUAAUGACGGUACCAAAGGAGGAAGCCACGGCUAACUACGUGCCAGCAGCCGCGGUAAUACGUAGGUGGCGAGCGUUGUCCGGAUUUACUGGGCGUAAAGGGUGCGUAGGCGGAUGUUUAAGUGAGAUGUGAAAUACCCGGGCUUAACUUGGGUGCUGCAUUUCAAACUGGAUAUCUAGAGUGCAGGAGAGGAGAAUGGAAUUCCUAGUGUAGCGGUGAAAUGCGUAGAGAUUAGGAAGAACACCAAUGGCGAAGGCGAUUCUCUGGACUGUAACUGACGCUGAGGCACGAAAGCGUGGGUAGCAAACAGGAUUAGAUACCCUGGUAGUCCACGCCGUAAACGAUGAGUACUAGGUGUAGGAGGUAUCGACCCCUUCUGUGCCGCAGUAAACACAUUAAGUACUCCGCCUGGGAAGUACGAUCGCAAGAUUAAAACUCUAAAGUGAAUUGAC